GAUGAACGCUAGCGGCAGGCUUAACACAUGCAAGUCGUGGGGCAGCGCGGACUUCGGUCUGGCGGCGACCGGCAAACGGGUGCGGAACACGUACGCAACCUCCCUCAGAGCGGGGAAUAGCCUCUCGAAAGAGAGAUUAAUACCCCAUAGUAUCUUGAAGACACAUGUCUAUGAGAUUAAAGCUUCGGCACUUUGAGAUGGGCGUGCGGCUGAUUAGGUAGUUGGUAGGGUAACGGCCUACCAAGCCGACGAUCAGUAGCUGAUGUGAGAGCAUGAUCAGCCACACGGGC
RNAcentral lists this ribosomal RNA (290 nucleotides) under uncultured bacterium. RNAcentral's name for it is "partial 16S ribosomal RNA". It matches the Rfam family "Bacterial small subunit ribosomal RNA", at positions 28 to 317 of the family's 1533-position model. The record is from RNAcentral.